AAAUCUGGAGAUUCUCGGACAAAUCUCCUCCCAAAACCUACUGCCACUUUCAAACGAAGAUCUUUUCCUACCCCUCUCUCUAGUCGUCGCUCGGCGGAUUUCGGGCUCCGACGGCAGGCAAAGCUCGAUCGGACGCUCCCGCCACAGUCGAAGGUCGAAGUCCAGCUGUUCUACCCCCUGCUCGUGCUCUCUCUAUCUUUCGCUAUUUGGGUCUCUCUGCUUGCCCGCGAGGUUGUUGGGAUGUUCGAUUAGAGCUCGAUUUCUGGCAAAUCUUCAAGAUACUUUCAUUCCUUCACCGUUUGAAUCUUCCUAAGCAAUAAUUAGUGAACAAUCCCACAUCUGAUGCCAACUUUUGACGCCAAAUCGGACCACCCUUUCUCAUUCCGGUAUGUUUGAGCCGUAGAACAUUAUGGAUUUGUAGGACAAUUCGGGCUUCGGGGACCGAAAGUCGUGGCUUUCGAUGGAAGCCGGCGGAACUCUGGAUCGCGUUCUCUUCAACGAGCUCGUCGAAACGUCCCGCUCAUUCAAAUCCCUGAUCGUACUCACUCUCAGACUCUCUCUCGCUUUCCGUCGUACUAUCUGCUGUUUUGUAAAUGGAGUUUUGGGGUUUGGUGAUUAUCAGCCGGAGAAGCAUUGGUUGAAUCAAUUACAUUGAAGUUUGAAUCUUUAUAUAUGACAGAGUGAUAUCUGAUUACCAUUGAAGCAGGAUUUUCGAUAUCGCUGUGAAAAGAUAAUGUCGAGUUCUGAUCUUUAAUGUUGGGCAAUGUUGAAGUUUUUUUUAUUUGGGAAUAUAAUGUUAAUAGGAUCGGAAAGCGAGCAAUUCGUAUACGCGACGAGGCUUUGAGAAUCAUUGUCCUGAAAAUUACUUUUUGAAUAUUUUCAGCUCUAUUUGUGUUUCAUCUGAUGUAAGUUUACUUUUGACUUCGAGAACUGGAUGAUGGGUUCUUGUUUUAUGUUGAGGCUAGUCCGAAUAUGAUCGAUCAUUUUAAGUAUUUUAUGCUUGAGUUUGCUUGUUUUAUGUUUUGGGGUCUCAUGUGAUAUUCUGCCCAUUGUAAGUUGCGGAAUUAUUCUCGUCGAAAAAGCAACCAGAUUUUUAUGGUGUCUGCUUUCAUUGAUUUGGCUCAAGCUAUAAUCUGAUGAAGGUCCCCGAACCGAAGGGGAGAAAUGCAGUUCAAUUAAUGACCAAUAAAAAGAAAAGGGACCCCGGGGACAAAGAACAAGGUAAGAAUGGGAGCGGCUAUGACCAAGAUGGUGAUAACUUAUCAGCCUUUUCACCAAGAGGUCCAACAAUGGAGAAAGAAAGCGAAGAGUACAUUCUCCUGAGGGGGCAGUUGGAAGAACUCUAGAGACAGCUGGCUGAGAAAGAUGACCUUCUUAAAUCAGCAGCAAUUACACAGACUAAGUUAGAGGCCCAGCUCGAAGAACUGAAAGGAGAGUCUGCCGAAAAGGACUCGUUUAUUAAGUCCAUCCAACUGCAACUAUCUGAUGCAAAGGUUACAUGACUUAUAGCAUAAUAGCCCGAUAGCAUUUUAUACGACUCUAAGCAUUUAAGUCUGUGUUUCAUUGACUUGGAACUGCUCCUUUCUUUAGAUUAGGGUUUAUUGCACCAUAUAGCCUAACGUUGACAGAUAUUCUUUGAUCUAUCCCAACGUCGUUUUUUUGUCGGGGUAUCCCAACGUUGCUAUAUUUGUUUCACCAACUAUCCCAUGUGGCUAGAUGGUGAUAUCAAAUUAGCAACGUUGAGAUACCUCAGGUAAAAAAUCGACAUUGGGAUAGAUCUAAUAAUAUUUGUUAACGUUAGGCUAUACGGUGCAAUAUACUCUUCAGAUUAAGCUUAGCAGACAGGCAAGCUGCUUGGAAAAAACACAGUGGGAAGCAAUGACAUCGAGAAAGAGAGGAAAAGCUUCAAGAAAAGCUCAACAACAUGUAGGGGGAAGUUUCAUCAAUCAUGUCACUAUGGUAAGUUCUGAAAGAGAACGAUUCUACUGUAUACUGUGAGGACUACCAUAUCACACCAUACUGCGUGGAUGAGGCUUCUUUGAUGCAGGGCGACUUUGAUAAUGUGGGGAUGCAUAGAAUGGAAGAACCGAGACUAGCGUACUUCGUCAAAGCAUUCCUGCUCGAGGUGAAAUGAGGUCUAUCAAAUAAGGAAGGGAAAACAACAUAGAUUUUGAGUUUAUGAAAUGAAGCCUUGCAAGAUUUCCAAGGGAAAAUGGUAGUUCUGAUUCCGGAAAUCCCAGAAUGAUGUGGUGUGCUCAUCCGUUACAGGGAAUUGUACAGAAUGCCAUAAAGUGCUACGGCAAUGCGUUCUUCUGCAUAUCAAAAUGAGGCUUCUCAAGUAUAUGAAGUGGUCCACGUAUUUUUAAGUUUUCAUAUGAAUCGAUGAAGUCAGUAUCGAUGUGGUUGUGAUCAUCUGUGACAGUCACUUGUACAGAAUACCAAAAGUCGAGGUGUAAUUAAAAUCCUACUAGAUGUUAAAUGAGGUCUAUCUAGUUGAUGAAAUACACCGCAUAUUAUUAUUUACUAAAUGAUGCCUUUCAAUUUAUGUCGGUAAUAAGUUUAUUGUGAAUCAAGAAAGUCGAAAUUUAUGUG
This is a non-coding RNA of Punica granatum (pomegranate), 2592 nucleotides long. The record is from RefSeq and is a predicted model, not a curated record. Lineage: Eukaryota; Viridiplantae; Streptophyta; Magnoliopsida; Myrtales; Lythraceae.